Molecule: ribosomal RNA, 254 nt
Filed under: uncultured bacterium
Lineage: Bacteria
Description: partial 16S ribosomal RNA
Rfam family: Bacterial small subunit ribosomal RNA
Source: RNAcentral
CCCUACGGGGGGCAGCAGUCGAGAAUCAUUCACAAUGGGGGAAACCCUGAUGGUGCGACGCCGCGUGGGGGAAUGAAGGUCUUCGGAUUGUAAACCCCUGUCAUGUGGGAGCAAAUUAAAAAGAUAGUACCACAAGAGGAAGAGACGGCUAACUACGUGCCAGCAGCCGCGGUAAUACGUAGGUGGCAAGCGUUGUUCGGAAUAACUGGGCGUAAAGGAUGCGUAGGCGGUUAAACAAGUUAUAUGUUAAAUAU